RNAcentral lists this transfer RNA (75 nucleotides) under Planctomycetota bacterium. RNAcentral describes it as "tRNA-Pro". It matches the Rfam family "tRNA". From Rfam's summary of the family: Transfer RNA (tRNA) molecules are approximately 80 nucleotides in length. Their secondary structure includes four short double-helical elements and three loops (D, anti-codon, and T loops). Further hydrogen bonds mediate the characteristic L-shaped molecular structure. tRNAs have two regions of fundamental functional importance: the anti-codon, which is responsible for specific mRNA codon recognition, and the 3' end, to which the tRNAs corresponding amino acid is attached (by aminoacyl-tRNA synthetases). tRNAs cope with the degeneracy of the genetic code in two manners: having more than one tRNA (with a specific anti-codon) for a particular amino acid; and 'wobble' base-pairing, i.e. permitting non-standard base-pairing at the 3rd anti-codon position. Lineage: Bacteria; Pseudomonadati; Planctomycetota. The record is from RNAcentral.
CGGGGUGUAGCUCAGCGGUAGAGCCUCAGCUUUGGGAGCUGUAUGUCGGGGGUUCAAAUCCCCCCACCCCGACCA